This is a non-coding RNA of Mycena latifolia, 92 nucleotides long. The record is from the annotation of a GenBank genome assembly. NCBI's taxonomy places the organism in Eukaryota, Fungi, Basidiomycota, Agaricomycetes, Agaricales, Mycenaceae.
GCCUCUGUGGAUGAAUGGUAGGUCACCUCAGAUCUGUGGACACUGCAUAGCCCUUUAGUGAGGGGAUGUGGGUUCGAAUCCCACCAGAGGCA